UCCCAGGUGGUUCAGUAGUAAAGAAUCUGCCUGCAAUGCAGAAAACCCAGGUUCAAUCCCUGGGGUGGGAA
This 71-nucleotide transfer RNA is filed under the name Capra hircus (goat). It matches the Rfam family "tRNA". From Rfam's summary of the family: Transfer RNA (tRNA) molecules are approximately 80 nucleotides in length. Their secondary structure includes four short double-helical elements and three loops (D, anti-codon, and T loops). RNAcentral also lists the same sequence under 2 other names. The record is from Rfam by way of RNAcentral. Lineage: Eukaryota; Metazoa; Chordata; Mammalia; Artiodactyla; Bovidae.